RNAcentral lists this ribosomal RNA (1338 nucleotides) under Perlomyia kappa. RNAcentral's name for it is "16S ribosomal RNA". The stretch from base 566 to 1338 matches the Rfam family "Archaeal large subunit ribosomal RNA", at positions 1423 to 2815 of the family's 2987-position model. Lineage: Eukaryota; Metazoa; Arthropoda; Insecta; Plecoptera; Leuctridae. The record is from RNAcentral.
UAAAUAUAAUAUUAUUAAUUUAUUUAUGAAAGGUGUCGAAAGUUAAUGAAAUCAUUUUUGUUAAGUUAGGUUUUGUAUAGGAUAUAGAAAAAAUUGUUUGAAUGAUAGUUGAAUUGUAUUGUGAAAGAAUUAUGAAAUAUUAUGAAAAUAUUUUUUAUUAAAAGUAAAUUUGAUUUAUUGUACCUUGUGUAUCAGGGUUUAUUAAAAUUGUAACUAAGAUAUUGGUUAAUCCCGAUUUAAAGAGAGCUAAGUAAAUAUAUUAGUUAAUGUGGAAUAAUUAUUAAUAAUGUUUAUUUAGUAAUGAAACGUUAUUCGUUCUUUAAGAUAUCUGGUUUUUUAAGAAAUGAAUUUAAUUCAUGUAAUAAUUUUUAUUAAUUUAAGUUUUUUAAAUUUAAUAUGUUUUGUUACAAAUAUUUUGGGGGAUGAGCUUCAAGAUAUUGAUUAAAAAUAGUAAUUAAUUUUAAAAAAAGUUGUAGGCUUAGAGUUAGCCAUCAAUAAAAGGAUGUCAUAAUUUAUGUUUUUUGAAAAUAAUUUACAUAAUGUUUAAGUAGUUUAUUAAAAUUUGAAUUGUAAUAAUUGAAAUUUGGUAAUAAUGAUAAAAUUAGUAUAAAUUAAUGUUAGUAAUUUAAUAUAAAUGAAAGGUUAUAUUAAGGAACUAGGCAAAUUAAUACUCGCCUGUUUAACAAAAACAUGUCUUCUUGAUUUUAAUUUGAAGUCUGACCUGCCCACUGACUGUAAUCGUUAAAGGGCCGCGGUAUUUUGACCGUGCAAAGGUAGCAUAAUCAUUAGUCUUUUUAUUGAAGGCUUGUAUGAAUGGUUGGACGAGGUAUUGACUGUCUCUGUGUUAUUGAAAUUAGAAUUUAACUUUUAAGUUAAAAGGCUUAAUUGAGUUUAAAGGACGAGAAGACCCUAUAGAGCUUUACAGUUAAUUUUUAUUAUUUAUUUAGAAGUAUUUUUAUAGUAAAAUAAAAACUGUUUUGUUGGGGUGACAGGAAGAUGAAAUAAACUCUUUUUAGAUUAAAAACAUAAAUUAAUGAAUUGUUGAUCCAUUAGUAGUGAUUAUAAGACUAAGUUACCUUAGGGAUAACAGCGUAAUCUUUUUCGAGAGUUCUUAUCGACAAAAAGGAUUGCGACCUCGAUGUUGGAUUAAGAGUAAUUUUGGGUGUAGAUGUUCAAAGUUUAGGUCUGUUCGACCUUUAAAUUCUUACAUGAUCUGAGUUCAGACCGGCGUAAGCCAGGUCGGUUUCUAUCCUUAAAUAAAAUUGGUAUUUUAGUACGAAAGGACCAAAUACUGGAAACAAAUAGGUUUUUAAAAAAUGAAUAAAAUUAAUUUAAUGA